RNAcentral lists this transfer RNA (71 nucleotides) under unidentified. Its description in RNAcentral is "Epeorus sp. 06 ZXM-2022a tRNA-Val". The record is from RNAcentral.
CAAAAUAGAGCUUGAUUAGUUAAGCUCCUCAUUUACACUGGGGCGAAAUCGUGCGAUUCGAUGUAUUUUGA